This 467-nucleotide ribosomal RNA is filed under the name uncultured bacterium. RNAcentral's name for it is "partial 16S ribosomal RNA". It matches the Rfam family "Bacterial small subunit ribosomal RNA", at positions 28 to 507 of the family's 1533-position model. The record is from RNAcentral.
GAUGAACGCUGGCGGCGUGCUUAACACAUGCAAGUCGAACGGAAAGGCCCAAGCUUGCUUGGGUACUCGAGUGGCGAACGGGUGAGUAACACGUGGGUGAUCUGCCCUGCACUUCGGGAUAAGCCUGGGAAACUGGGUCUAAUACCGGAUAGGACCACUUCUUGGAUGUUGUGGUGGAAAGUUUUUUCGGUGUGGGAUGAGCUCGCGGCCUAUCAGCUUGUUGGUGGGGUAAUGGCCUACCAAGGCGUCGACGGGCAGCCGGCCUGAGAGGGUGUACGGCCACAUUGGGACUGAGAUACGGCCCAGACUCCUACGGGAGGCAGCAGUGGGGAAUAUUGCACAAUGGGCGCAAGCCUGAUGCAGCGACGCCGCGUGGGGGAUGACGGCCUUCGGGUUGUAAACUCCUUUCGCUAGGGACGAAGCGUUUUGUGACGGUACCUGGAGAAGAAGCACCGGCUAACUACGUG